RNAcentral lists this unclassified non-coding RNA (334 nucleotides) under soil metagenome. RNAcentral describes it as "partial contains 5.8S ribosomal RNA, internal transcribed spacer 2, and large subunit ribosomal RNA". The stretch from base 1 to 120 matches the Rfam family "5.8S ribosomal RNA", at positions 35 to 154 of the family's 154-position model. The record is from RNAcentral.
GAUGAAGAACGUAGCGAAAUGCGAUAAGUAAUGUGAAUUGCAGAAUUCAGUGAAUCAUCGAAUCUUUGAACGCACAUUGCGCCCGCCAGUAUUCUGGCGAGCAUGCCUGUUCGAGCGUCAUUUCAGCCAUCAAGCCCCAGGCUUGUGUUGGAGCCCUGCGGCUGCCGCAGCCUCCCAAAACCAGUGGCGGGCUCGCUAUCACACCGAGUGCAGUAGUUUACUCUUCGCUCAGGGCGUGUGGCGGGUGCUAGCCGUGAAACCCCCAACUUCUCAAGGUUGACCUCGGAUCAGGUAGGAAUACCCGCUGAACUUAAGCAUAUCAAUAAGCGGAGGA